ACAGUAGUUUCGGCGAGUUUCAUCGCGUGCUUCUUCGUUACGGUGCCCCUUUGGGCCUGUAAAUCGAAUCUAUUUUGGUGGACUUUGACCUGAUACAAUUUUGUUAAUAGAAUCCUUCUCUACAUGCUCUGUUUUAGUGCGGCGCUCAAGGAAUAAUACGGCUUAAGGGUUUUGCUGCAACACUUAGAGGGGAUUUAUCGCUACGGCGUGCGUUUUUGAGAUAGUGUUGGCUUGUAGUAAAUAAUUUAUACUUUUUCUUAGGUGUACAGGUCUCCUUUUUUGUUUUUAUAAUCAGUACACACUCAGAUUUUACGAAGACGACGCCGUAUGGAUUUUUCUGGAUGCGGACACGAGAACGCUGGGAGAGGAGUGCAGUACAAGCAAAUUGCACUUGUUAGGGAAGUUUUGUCGUGGUUUCCCCGUCUUCCGAUUGAGUCGGUUUUUAUAUUUUUCUUAUAAUGGUUCCAACUUUUAAAAAUUCGGGCAGAGAUAUCUCCAGGCAGCAUUCCUCCAGCUGGAAGUCUUAUUCCUGGGCAUCUUCUAAAUCGUUCAGAACUUCGAUCUUAGUGGAGGACACGAAGUCUCGGAACACUAAUGUUGGAUUCGGCUAUUUCUUCAUCACAACUGAGUACUUGUCAUGCCAAACUGAAGCCGAUCACAAGAGGUGGUGCACGUACCAGGAUGAAAACUUGGCGUUCCGGUUGGAGGUAGUCAACCGGAGAUGUGUUUGACAAAUAUAUUAUUCCACAUGAGGGAUGGAAUAAAAGCUCGUCUCCCCAGACAUUUUGUGUCUAAUCCAGGUCGCCUGCCGUCCUGUGUACCCCAACGUCUUCAAUUAGCGUUUUGCUCUAAGCUUGUAGAAGCUCUGACGCGCGAAAUGGAGAUUUCCCCAAGACGAUAAUCGCAUCGAAAGUCGAUGCAUCUUUGACCCAAGUACUAACUCACAGUGCUGUUUGGAUGACUGAUGUUUUUCUGGCUGAAAAUUAUCAACAAUCACUUUGUUGUGAAGUUCUUGUUCCUGUAUCAUGCGUCUGGAUUCUUUAUCAAUGAUUCAUGUGAGCUCUCGCAUCGCGCUUGAUAUCAGAAACUGAAACAAUUGGUGAUGACGGCUGGGGUGCAACCCCAGUAGACAAUGAUGCUUCAGCAGGUAUGCCUGCUCCUGACUAUCCUUCUCUUUCUGAACUUAGUUUUUGAAUUUUCUUAUCUGAUUCUCUCUUUUGACUGGUGGAUCCACACAUACAGUUUUAUAUACAUUUUCUCUACAUUAGGAAAACAGUUUAGUCACAUUUGUAGAGUAGCAAAUUUUUUAUGUCCAUAUUCGUUUAGCUUUUUGUAAAUGCUGUCGUCCAUUCUGCUAUAAUUUGAUGUUACAGCUACUCACUUCAGCAUUUGUACUACUGCUGACAGUAAGAAGUCCUGAACUUGACAAGGGGAAUGAACGUUUUAGGAUAUGUCAGGGUUUCGAUCUAACAUGCAGACCACGACAGUUAUCUCAUAUUAGUUCUUUCAAUGACUGGAGCGUUGAGGUUGAGAUAUAUCCCUUCCAUAUCAGAUGUGCAGUGAAUGAUUUUGAAGCGACCAAGACAAAUUUGGAAGUAAACUAUCUUAUGGACUGUUCGUAUAGAUGAGCCCAAAUCCUCCUCAAGCUUGCCAGUUUCAAAAUGCUAUUUAGCAAAGAAGAAUAUGUUGAUCAUUCAUGAAUUUUAAGUCUUCUUUCGUGCAGUUUUUUUAUGUUUAGCGAACGCAUUUGUUGAUACCACUGAAUUCAGACCUUUCAAGUGCGUGGGAAGUUAUUGUUUGAAGCACUCUGUCUGAUUGGAGCAAGCCACUCCAAAUCGAGAGUGUGGAGCACUGGGAUGAUACUGGUGGGAAUGCUAGCUCACAAGUUCUCAUGUUCAGGGAAAUUCAGCACUCUUUGAAUUGCUUCUGCAACAUCACUCUCUGAAAAUCUCUCACAGGUACCACCUAUAAUGUUGACAUUCUCAAUGAAACAUCAAUGUCCACGCGGACCGUUGGAAUUGGUGUUUGGAAAUCCCAAAAUUCUGAAACAUGACUACGAAUGAAUGAGGAACGCGCGGCCUUUAUCUUUUGGACAAAAGCGUGAUAGCAAGUAACCUAUCUGUGUGUUCCAAAGAACUCAGCAAGGUCGGCAGUUAGCACUGCAGACGUGAAUGCUACUUUUCGUUACUAUGUUGUUUUGUUGAGUAAAUUUGGUCAAUUGUCAGGCUUUUUGCUUCUUGGAACCUUAGAACACUCAAUCCCAGCCAUGAAGAAAUCAUUCCUUGCACCACGCAGAUAUCUAUUAUCGCAAUGUUGAGUACGAGAAUGAAAAUAUGAAUGAUCUGGAGAAGUAUGCAUAAGUUGACAUUCAUUUUGAAUUCUGUAACCGCAAUAUUGUGACAAUCUACAAUUCGCAUUUCCUGGUACAAAUCAAUGCAUACUUAUCAAAUUCACAUACUGACUAUUACGUAUUGUUGUCGCAGAUUGAAUCGUGAAGCUUUCAUGAAAUUUUAAAUUGAUUUCCCUCCAUAUGCCUUUGAAGAAGUCCUCGAAUCACUUUUAGCAACCUUGCGUACAUUACUCACCUCAACUCUUGGUGUUUUCUGUGCGUAGUACACAACCCUGUCAACUUGUGUGGCCUGACUGGGGUCAUGCACUUGGUUAAGUGUUUGUUCUGAUAUUUGGUCCAUCGUGAAAGAGUUUUUAUCAGUUGGAGGUUUGUGUAUUCCAUCAACAUUUGAGUGUGCCUUGCUCACAUGGGUGGACUUUGAUAACUACACUUGAAAUGUCUCAAGUAUAAGAAUUUCCUCUUGUUACCAUCCCGACUCUGGUUUUUCUAACCCAACUGGUCACCUCCCCAUUGUGCAUCAAACGGACUCCACUCUACCAAAGAGAAUUAGUAACUUGCUUCACAGCCCUACUGGAGCAACUUAUAAGUUGCAACAGAAUAGACUUUCAGUGUAAAAAUCAUUUUAUUUUACAAGCUCUGGUGUGAGUAGGAACAAUUUACAAUGCUAUGCAAAGUUUGUUCCUAGAAACCACUAAAAUUCAACGUA
Physcomitrium patens is the source of this 3056-nucleotide non-coding RNA. The record is from RefSeq and is a predicted model, not a curated record. Lineage: Eukaryota; Viridiplantae; Streptophyta; Bryopsida; Funariales; Funariaceae.